RNAcentral lists this ribosomal RNA (253 nucleotides) under uncultured bacterium. RNAcentral's name for it is "partial 16S ribosomal RNA". It matches the Rfam family "Bacterial small subunit ribosomal RNA", at positions 524 to 776 of the family's 1533-position model. The record is from RNAcentral.
GACGGAGGAUGCAAGCGUUAUCCGGAAUGAUUGGGCGUAAAGCGUCCGCAGGUGGCAGUUCAAGUCUGCUGUCAAAGACCGGGGCUUAACUUCGGAAAGGCAGUGGAAACUGAACAGCUAGAGUCCGGAAGAGGAGAGUGGAAUUCCUGGUGUAGCGGUGAAAUGCGCAGAUAUCAGGAAGAACACCCGUGGCUAAGGCGGCUCUCUAGUACGGUACUGACGCUGAGACGCGAAAGCGUGGGGAGCGAACAGG